GGAGAGUGAGGCAGGAGGAUCACAAUUUUGAGGCCAGCCUGGGCAAGUUAGGGAGACCCUGCCUCAAAAUAAAAAUAAAAAGUUCUGGGGUGUAGCUUCUUAAUGGUAGAGUGCCUCUGAGUUCAAUACCCAGUAUCAUCUCUAACCUCCCCCACCACACACCCACACACAGAAUCUGUAGAGAUGCUGAAGUUGGUGGCAGAGUAUAGAUAGAUUGUGAAAAAAGGAAUAAGUGCUACCUUCAUGGAGGGACUUGGAACUGUGUCAUGCCUGUGGUAAAUGAUGGUGAUGAGAUGCCAAGAGACUGAUCAUCUAGACUAAAGAGCUAGUAAAGUGAUGAUGGAUGGUGGAUACACUGUGGUAGUGUAGCAUGGGGUAGGGUGACCGUUUUUCUUUUGGUUGAAAAAAGGAGUGUCAGAGCUAAAAUUUCCAUGAGAGUUAAUUGCUUUCUUGGAAUUGUUAGCAAAAGAUAGUUUUCAAUUAAAAAGAAGGCAUGUGGAGGUGAUUUGUUUAUUAAAAUUAUAUUGUAUAAGUGUUGGGUCAUGGAAAUGAAGGGCAGUCUUAAAAGGUAUUAACUGUAUAGUUUGGACACUCCCCAACCUUCCAAAAAGUACUGUUUAGCAUGGAAAUGUGGAAGGACAUUUAUUUCAGAUUGGAGAGUAGGGAAAGAUUGUUAGAGACCAGGAUGUAAGAGUUGAGUUUUGAAGAAAGGACGAGAGGUGGGUUGGAAUGGAAGGUUUUAGGAGAAGAGGACAGCACGUGCAAAGGCAUUGCAGAAUGAAAACGGUGACUUUGGGGAUGUGCAAGUAUUUUAGUCUGAUUUGUAAGGUGCUUGUUGGAGAGUAAGGAAUUAUAAAUGCAGUGAGGCCAUGGUGCCUAGCACAUAAGGGGACUUUCUGUGUCCAUUUUAAAAAAAUAUUUUGAAAUCCAGGCUGGUAGCACAUGCCUUUAAUUUUGGCUACUCAGGAAGCUGAGGCAGGAGGAUCAUGAUUUGGAGACCAAUCUGGGCAACUUAGCAAGAACUUAUCUCAAAAAAUAACAAUCUGGGGAUGUAGCUCAGUGCUAAGAGCACCCCUAAAUUGGUUCCUCAGGAUUGUAAAAUAAACAAAAACAAAACAAAUUAUCCUGAAAUUUCUACAGCUAUUGAAGGAUUUUAAGCAGGUGAGUAACAUGUUCACAUUUUUUAUUUUAGAAAGAAUUUUAGUGAUAUGUGAAAAAUGAAUUGCAGAGUUAGGAAUUAUCAAGAUGAGGGGGUAGAUGGGUUUUCUUUUGUAGCAAUCUGAACUAAAAGUGAUAGGGACAGAAUUAAGCUAGAUAGUGGUAGAAAGGAUAGCAAGGAGGAAAUGAAUUUGAGAGAGAGCUUUAUGUGGGAAUAUGGAUAUAACUUGGUGUUGGAUUAGAAAAGAGAGAGAAAGGAACAAGUUAAUGAUGACUUUGAAGUCAUAAACCUGGGGAACAGAAAAAGGAACAAAUUAAAUGGGAGCUGAUGUGAUAGAAAAGGGGAUUCUUAGGACAAAAUGAAGAAUUGGUAAGAUGGUGGAUGUGAGGAUGGAAUAAGAGGCAACUGAAUCUUCGAAAUGAGGAGUCUGGAGGAAAGGAAUUGAUGGAUUUAGUAAAGUAUGUUUUAGAGAUUAAAAAGAAGAUUGGUAUUCAGGUAUAUAAAGAAAUCUCUGGCAGAACAACUUUAAUAUUUUGUGUUAUAAAUAAGCAUAUCUUCUUGAGCUACAUUUUUCAGGGGUUAUUUUUAUUUUAUUGAAGUGAAACAUUACAGCUAUUUUAUAGUGUUUAAUUGAGUGGUAUAUAGAGCAUUUACAGGAUUGUGUUAUCAUUACCUCUGUUGAUUCAAAAGGUUUGUAUUAUAUUCAAGGGAGAGCCUGUAACCAUUAAGCAGUCAGUCCCUAUUUCCCAGCUUCCUCCAGUCACUGGCAG
Molecule: long non-coding RNA, 1929 nt
Filed under: Marmota monax (woodchuck)
Lineage: Eukaryota; Metazoa; Chordata; Mammalia; Rodentia; Sciuridae
Source: RNAcentral